RNAcentral lists this transfer RNA (74 nucleotides) under Peltocephalus dumerilianus (big-headed amazon river turtle). Its description in RNAcentral is "tRNA-Asn". It matches the Rfam family "tRNA". Rfam says of the family: Transfer RNA (tRNA) molecules are approximately 80 nucleotides in length. Their secondary structure includes four short double-helical elements and three loops (D, anti-codon, and T loops). Further hydrogen bonds mediate the characteristic L-shaped molecular structure. tRNAs have two regions of fundamental functional importance: the anti-codon, which is responsible for specific mRNA codon recognition, and the 3' end, to which the tRNAs corresponding amino acid is attached (by aminoacyl-tRNA synthetases). tRNAs cope with the degeneracy of the genetic code in two manners: having more than one tRNA (with a specific anti-codon) for a particular amino acid; and 'wobble' base-pairing, i.e. permitting non-standard base-pairing at the 3rd anti-codon position. Lineage: Eukaryota; Metazoa; Chordata; Testudines; Podocnemididae. The record is from RNAcentral.
UAGAUAAAAACCAACAUGGAUAAGGUGUUUAGCUGUUAACUAAUUGUAUGUGGGAUCGAGACCCGCUUAUCUAG